Molecule: long non-coding RNA, 311 nt
Organism: Camellia sinensis
Lineage: Eukaryota; Viridiplantae; Streptophyta; Magnoliopsida; Ericales; Theaceae
Source: RefSeq, a predicted model, not a curated record
CAGUGGUAGGGUUCAAAUUGUGGGGGAUCAAUGGUGAGCUUGCUUUGGACACCAAAGUGCAUGGUGGUGACUUGUUUGUUGUGCCAAGGUUCUUUGUGGUAGCCAUAGUUGCAGGUGGAGAUGGGAUGGAGUGUUUCUCUGUCAUAACUUCUUCACAACCUGUGUUUGGAGAGUCAAGUGGCAAUACAUCUAUAUGGAAAGCUUUAUCUCCAGUGGUUCUACAAACUUCUCUUGGUGUCACUCCAAAGUUUUCUCAACUUUUCAUUUCCAAGAAUUAGAUCACAAGCACCACAAUUCUCAUUCCUUCAUCA